Molecule: ribosomal RNA, 305 nt
Filed under: uncultured bacterium
Lineage: Bacteria
Description: partial 16S ribosomal RNA
Rfam family: Bacterial small subunit ribosomal RNA
Source: RNAcentral
ACAGCAGUAGCCGCGGAAUACGUAGAUGGCAAGCGUUGUCCGGAAUUAUUGGGCGUAAAGGGCUCGCAGGCGGUUUCUUAAGUCUGAUGUGAAAGCCCCCGGCUCAACCGGGGAGGGUCAUUGGAAACUGGGAAACUUGAGUGCAGAAGAGGAGAGUGGAAUUCCACGUGUAGCGGUGAAAUGCGUAGGGAUGUGGAGGAACACCAGUGGCGAAGGCGACUCUCUGGUCUGUAACUGACGCUGAGGAGCGAAAGCGUGGGGAGCGAACAGGAUUAGAUACCCGUGUAGUCCCUGUCUCUUAUACA